UGAAUAGGCUUCUGUAUAUAUCUGUGUGC
Molecule: non-coding RNA, 29 nt
Filed under: Rattus norvegicus (Norway rat)
Lineage: Eukaryota; Metazoa; Chordata; Mammalia; Rodentia; Muridae
Source: RNAcentral